AUUGCACAAGCUUAUUUUAACUGGGCUGCCGCAGAGCCAAUCCCGAGUUCCACAUGGUGCCUUAGAAAGUGGCUCUAAUGUGCUGCCCGUUUACCAGUGACUCCGACGCGCAGAGAAUCAGCACGCCAUGUUGCUGAUCUGCUUUCACAGCAAGGCUUGACACAGUCACCAUUUGCUUCCUGUUCACCCCCGUUCUUAGCCUCUGAGAUUUACAGCUUUUAAAACUCUAGGACUCUUUUCUGCCCCCUUGCAUUUAAGUUAAAAGCUGACCAGUCUAUAAUAUAAAACAUAGAAUUAUGGUAAUGAAUAAGAGGUUAAAAGCUAUCAUGGCAAGUGGAACUUAGCAGGUUUGGCUGACUGAUAUGGUAAAAAUUAUGUGUUGAAUUAAAACAUU
RNAcentral lists this long non-coding RNA (394 nucleotides) under Bos taurus (domestic cattle). RNAcentral's name for it is "long non-coding RNA NONBTAT012798". Lineage: Eukaryota; Metazoa; Chordata; Mammalia; Artiodactyla; Bovidae. The record is from RNAcentral.